This 350-nucleotide unclassified non-coding RNA is filed under the name soil metagenome. RNAcentral's name for it is "partial contains 5.8S ribosomal RNA, internal transcribed spacer 2, and large subunit ribosomal RNA". The stretch from base 2 to 122 matches the Rfam family "5.8S ribosomal RNA", at positions 35 to 154 of the family's 154-position model. The record is from RNAcentral.
GGAUGAAGAACGCAGCGAAAUGCGAUAAGUAAUGCGAAUUGCAGAAUUUCCGUGAGUCAUCGAAUCUUUGAACGCACAAUGCGCCCACUGGUAUUCCGGUGGGCAUGCCUGUUCGAGCGUCAUUAUCCUCCCUCAAACCCUCGUGUUUGGUGUUGGGCCGCGUUGGUGCAAGCCAACUGGUCUCAAAGACAAUGACGGCGUCCGUGGGACCCUCUUCGCAACGAGCAUCUUCGGAAGCACGCGUCGAGUCUAAAGGACCUUCCGGGCCGGUCUACCCUUUAUCUUUCUAAGGUUGACCUCGGAUCAGGUAGGAAUACCCGCUGAACUUAAGCAUAUCAAUAAGCGGAGGA